UCCCUUCUUUGCUAGGACUUAGAGUUUCGACCGUCACCUUGCACAUCAAUCCAUUUCUGAUCCUAUUUCGCACUGAAAAUAAUGUCUAUCUUCGUCUUUGAUUAAAUGUCUAGAACAAAGAUGUAUGAAUCCGGCUGUUAUAACACAAGCUGGUAGAUCUUUCACUACAACCGAGAGCCACCGUCCUACCAUUGUGCACAAGCAGAGCCUUGAUAUUCUUCACGAUUCUUGGUUCAAUAAGGUAACCGUGUUACUUUAAUUUCAAUAUCCUGAACCUGACGAUCCCUGACCUUAACAGCAUGAACCUGACGAUCCCUGACCUUAACAGCCUGAACCCCUGAAUUUUGAAGUUCAACCCUGUAGCUCUGAGCCAUGAGUUCUAAAACUUUAAACUUUGAUUCUUAAAUUCUGAACUUGUAAAUUUUAAAUGAAAACUUAAAUAUGUAAGUUAAACCUUUAAAUUUCAAAUGAAAACCUAAAUAUGUAUGUAUGAAUAUGUAUUGUAUGAAUAUAAAAAUUUAAAUUUAAAGGUAAAGCGAUGGAUUGUUGUGUGAAUAUGUAUUGUAUUGUUUUAUAUAUAUAAUUUUAUUGUAUAAGCAUGUCAUAUUAGAGCUACAUUAGCUUAGAUAGUUACUUAUUGAGUCAAAGCACUCUUUCUUUUAACAUUUUCAACAUGUUGCUGGAAGAAUAUUUUCCUUGAUAGUUGAUCUUGGACCUUUGGGAAGG
Molecule: long non-coding RNA, 726 nt
Filed under: Manihot esculenta (cassava)
Lineage: Eukaryota; Viridiplantae; Streptophyta; Magnoliopsida; Malpighiales; Euphorbiaceae
Description: long non-coding RNA (MESC_LNC012083)
Source: RNAcentral